Molecule: ribosomal RNA, 424 nt
Filed under: Cotesia glomerata
Lineage: Eukaryota; Metazoa; Arthropoda; Insecta; Hymenoptera; Braconidae
Description: partial 28S ribosomal RNA
Source: RNAcentral
AAACCCAAAAGAUCGAAUGAGGAGAUUCAUCGUCAGCUUAUUCAGUAUUAAUGCAGGCUAUGAUGUGAUAAUAGAAUCCUUGUGGUCACUAGAUUAUACUUGCUUGUAUUAUUUUUGCUGGGUAUGUCGGCGUGCACUUCUCCUCUAGUAGAACGUCGCAACCCGUUGGAUGUUUAUCUAUGGCUUGAAUGGUAGCCUUUGAUAUUUUUUAUAUUAAAGACCUUCGAUGUCCUGAUAAACUGUUUGACGGUAUACAUAUGGUAUUGAGCCGCAAUUAUUUGCGUUAGACUUACCGCAAGUAUGACUUUAUUCUAGUAGUGCGGAUCUAAUGCCGUCGCUGGACAAAGCCUGCUGUUAGCUGUGUAAUGUCUUUAACUGGCUUAUUUACCGGUUAGCGAUGCUACUGCUUUGGGUACUUACAGGA